RNAcentral lists this ribosomal RNA (253 nucleotides) under uncultured bacterium. RNAcentral describes it as "partial 16S ribosomal RNA". It matches the Rfam family "Bacterial small subunit ribosomal RNA", at positions 524 to 776 of the family's 1533-position model. The record is from RNAcentral.
UACGGAGGGAGCUAGCGUUGCUCGGAAUUACUGGGCGUAAAGCGCACGUAGGCGGCUUUGUAAGUUAGAGGUGAAAGCCCGGGGCUCAACUCCAGAACUGCCCUUGAUACUGGCGGCCUCGAGUCCGGGAGAGGUGAGUGGAACUGCGAGUGUAGAGGUGAAAUUCGUAGAUAUUCGCAAGAACACCAGUGGCGAAGGCGGCUCACUGGCCCGGUACUGACGCUGAGGUGCGAAAGCGUGGGGAGCAAACAGG